AUUGCAAGGUUGUAUCACAAUGUAAUGCAACAAUACUUCUAACUUGAGCUAACAAGAUAUUUGCGUCAUGCUUGUCUGAAGGAGAACUGCAUAGUGCAUGUAGAGAUUGUAUCCCACUCUAAUCUCUGAAGAUCAGGCUUGCAUGCUCUCAUCUUAACACCAUGGUGCUAGCCACCCCCCAGAGGAUGAAGGAUGUAACACAGCAUGUGCCUACUGGUGUGCUGGCUCCCCAGCAUGCAAAUUCAAAGAGCACACAGAGGGCAACAGCCCAUCCCAGGGUGCAGAAGAAGCUGCACUCAGGGGAGUUUGAAGAGGCCGAAGUAGUUGCUGU
Long non-coding RNA from Electrophorus electricus (electric eel), 331 nucleotides. RefSeq lists it as uncharacterized. NCBI's taxonomy places the organism in Eukaryota, Metazoa, Chordata, Actinopteri, Gymnotiformes, Gymnotidae. The record is from RefSeq and is a predicted model, not a curated record.